Molecule: ribosomal RNA, 551 nt
Filed under: uncultured bacterium
Lineage: Bacteria
Description: bacterial SSU rRNA
Rfam family: Bacterial small subunit ribosomal RNA
Source: RNAcentral
UCGAGAGGCUUUGGCAAUGGGGGAAACCCUGACCAAGCGACGCCGCGUGGGCGAUGAAGGCCUUCGGGUUGUAAAGCCCUGUUAUGGGGGAAGAAAAACCGUCGAGUUAACAGCUCGACGGAUUGACGGUACCCUAGGAGGAAGCUCCGGCAAACUCCGUGCCAGCAGCCGCGGUAAUACGGAGGGAGCAAGCGUUGUUCGGAUUUACUGGGCGUAAAGGGCGUGUAGGCGGUCUUGUAAGUCAGGCGUGAAAUGCUCUGGCUCAACCAGAGAGGUGCGUCUGAUACUGCGAGGCUUGAGUGCAGGAGAGGAGAGCAGAAUUCCUGGUGUAGCGGUGAAAUGCGUAGAUAUCAGGAAGAAUACCAGUGGCGAAGGCGGCUCUCUGGUCUGUCACUGACGCUAAGGCGCGAAAGCCAGGGGAGCGAACGGGAUUAGAUACCCCGGUAGUCCUGGCCGUAAACGUUGGGCACUAGGUGUAGGAGGUAUCGACCCCUUCUGUGCCUAAGCUAACGCAUUAAGUGCCCCGCCUGGGGAGUACGACCGCAAGGUUG